AUAAAUAGUUUUAAUGUGUCUUUUACAUAAUUGCUCAUUUGCUCUGUUUUAGUUUAUGCUUGUUCAAAUGGGUAUUGAAUUUAAUCUGUAAAUAUGGAGAAAGAGAAGGGGGAAAAAGGGUGAUUUUUCUUCCAUUUUUGUUAUUUGGAUUUUAGUAUUGACAGAUUCUAUUCAUUUUGGCAACUGGGUGUUUUUUUUUAAUUUGAUAUUUAUAGAUAGGGAAUUGAUU
RNAcentral lists this long non-coding RNA (229 nucleotides) under Panax ginseng (ginseng). Its description in RNAcentral is "long non-coding RNA (PGIN_LNC005498)". The record is from RNAcentral. Lineage: Eukaryota; Viridiplantae; Streptophyta; Magnoliopsida; Apiales; Araliaceae.